Molecule: ribosomal RNA, 765 nt
Filed under: uncultured Streptococcus sp.
Lineage: Bacteria; Bacillati; Bacillota; Bacilli; Lactobacillales; Streptococcaceae
Description: bacterial SSU rRNA
Rfam family: Bacterial small subunit ribosomal RNA
Source: RNAcentral
GACGAACGCUGGCGGCGUGCCUAAUACAUGCAAGUAGAACGCUGAAGAGAGGAGCUUGCUCUUCUUGGAUGAGUUGCGAAUGGGUGAGUAACGCGUAGGUAACCUGCCUUGUAGCGGGGGAUAACUAUUGGAAACGAUAGCUAAUACCGCAUAACAAUGGAUGACACAUGUCAUUUAUUUGAAAGGGGCAAUUGCUCCACUACAAGAUGGACCUGCGUUGUAUUAGCCAGUAGGUGAGGUAACGGCUCACCUAGGCGACGAUACAUAGCCGACCUGAGAGGGUGAUCGGCCACACUGGGACUGAGACACGGCCCAGACUCCUACGGGAGGCAGCAGUAGGGAAUCUUCGGCAAUGGGGGCAACCCUGACCGAGCAACGCCGCGUGAGUGAAGAAGGUUUUCGGAUCGUAAAGCUCUGUUGUAAGUCAAGAACGAGUGUGGGAGUGGAAAGUUCACACUGUGACGGUAGCUUACCAGAAAGGGACGGCUAACUACGUGCCAGCAGCCGCGGUAAUACGUAGGUCCCGAGCGUUGUCCGGAUUUAUUGGGCGUAAAGCGAGCGCAGGCGGUUUGAUAAGUCUGAAGUUAAAGGCUGUGGCUCAACCAUAGUUCGCUUUGGAAACUGUCAAACUUGAGUGCAGAAGGGGAGAGUGGAAUUCCAUGUGUAGCGGUGAAAUGCGUAGAUAUAUGGAGGAACACCGGUGGCGAAAGCGGCUCUCUGGUCUGUAACUGACGCUGAGGCUCGAAAGCGUGGGGAGCGAACAGG